Molecule: ribosomal RNA, 1377 nt
Filed under: Vibrio alginolyticus
Lineage: Bacteria; Pseudomonadati; Pseudomonadota; Gammaproteobacteria; Vibrionales; Vibrionaceae
Also listed under: 2 other names
Description: partial 23S ribosomal RNA
Rfam family: Bacterial large subunit ribosomal RNA
Source: RNAcentral
AGCAUCUACGGAUGUGAAGUCAUUGAUGCCAUGCUUCCAGGAAAAGCCUCUAAGCUUCAGAUUGUAAGGAAUCGUACCCCAAACCGACACAGGUGGUCGGGUAGAGAAUACCAAGGCGCUUGAGAGAACUCGGGUGAAGGAACUAGGCAAAAUGGUACCGUAACUUCGGGAGAAGGUACGCUCUCGACGGUGAAGUCCCUCGCGGAUGGAGCUAUUGAGAGUCGCAGAUACCAGGUGGCUGCAACUGUUUAUUAAAAACACAGCACUGUGCAAAAUCGCAAGAUGACGUAUACGGUGUGACGCCUGCCCGGUGCCGGAAGGUUAAUUGAUGGGGUUAGACUUCGGUCGAAGCUCUUGAUCGAAGCCCCGGUAAACGGCGGCCGUAACUAUAACGGUCCUAAGGUAGCGAAAUUCCUUGUCGGGUAAGUUCCGACCUGCACGAAUGGCGUAAUGAUGGCCACGCUGUCUCCACCCGAGACUCAGUGAAAUUGAAAUCGCUGUGAAGAUGCAGUGUACCCGCGGCUAGACGGAAAGACCCCGUGAACCUUUACUACAGCUUGGCACUGAACAUUGACCCUACAUGUGUAGGAUAGGUGGGAGGCUUUGAAGCGCAGUCGCUAGAUUGCGUGGAGCCGUCCUUGAAAUACCACCCUUGUAGUGUUGAUGUUCUAACGUCGACCCCUUAUCGGGGUUGCGGACAGUGCCUGGUGGGUAGUUUGACUGGGGCGGUCUCCUCCCAAAGCGUAACGGAGGAGCACGAAGGUGGGCUAAUCACGGUUGGACAUCGUGAGGUUAGUGCAAUGGCAUAAGCCCGCUUGACUGCGAGAAUGACAAUUCGAGCAGGUGCGAAAGCAGGUCAUAGUGAUCCGGUGGUUCUGAAUGGAAGGGCCAUCGCUCAACGGAUAAAAGGUACUCCGGGGAUAACAGGCUGAUACCGCCCAAGAGUUCAUAUCGACGGCGGUGUUUGGCACCUCGAUGUCGGCUCAUCACAUCCUGGGGCUGAAGUCGGUCCCAAGGGUAUGGCUGUUCGCCAUUUAAAGUGGUACGCGAGCUGGGUUUAGAACGUCGUGAGACAGUUCGGUCCCUAUCUGCCGUGGGCGUUGGAGAAUUGAAAGGGGCUGCUCCUAGUACGAGAGGACCGGAGUGGACGAACCUCUGGUGUUCGGGUUGUGUCGCCAGACGCAUUGCCCGGUAGCUAAGUUCGGGAUCGAUAACCGCUGAAAGCAUCUAAGCGGGAAGCGAGCCUUGAGAUGAGUUCUCCCUGAUACUUUAAGUAUCCUAAAGGGUUGUCGUAGACUACGACGUUGAUAGGCAGGGUGUGUAAGCGUUGUGAGGCGUUGAGCUAACCUGUACUAAUUGCCCGUGAGGCUUAACCAU